CCUACGGGUGGCAGCAGUCGGGAAUUUUGGGCAAUGGGCGCAAGCCUGACCCAGCAACGCCGCGUGAAGGAUGAAGCAUCUCGGUGUGUAAACUUCAUAAGAGUGGGAAGAAUAAGACUGGGCUAACACCCCAGUUGAUGACGGUACCACUUGUAAGCCCCGGCUAACUCCGUGCCAGCAGCCGCGGUAAUACGGGGGGGGCAAGCGUUGUUCGGAUUUACUGGGCGUAAAGGGCGCGUAGGCGGCCCUCUCAAGUCGCUUGUGAAAUCUCCGGGCUCAACCCGGAGCGGCCAAGCGAUACUGAGGGGCUGGAGUGCGGAAGGGGCCACCGGAAUUCUCGGUGUAGCGGUGAAAUGCGUAGAUAUCGAGAGGAACACCUGCGGCGAAGGCGGGUGGCUGGGCCGACACUGACGCUGAGGCGCGAAAGCCAGGGGAGCGAA
This 440-nucleotide ribosomal RNA is filed under the name uncultured bacterium. RNAcentral's name for it is "bacterial SSU rRNA". It matches the Rfam family "Bacterial small subunit ribosomal RNA", at positions 338 to 772 of the family's 1533-position model. The record is from RNAcentral.